This 253-nucleotide ribosomal RNA is filed under the name uncultured bacterium. RNAcentral describes it as "partial 16S ribosomal RNA". It matches the Rfam family "Bacterial small subunit ribosomal RNA", at positions 524 to 776 of the family's 1533-position model. The record is from RNAcentral.
UACGUAGGGGGCAAGCGUUGUCCGGAAUCAUUGGGCGUAAAGAGCGUGUAGGCGGCCCGCUAAGUCCGCUGUGAAAGUCCAGGGCUCAACCCUGGGAUGCCGGUGGAUACUGUCGGGCUCGAGUCCGGAAGAGGAGUGUGGAAUUCCUGGUGUAGCGGUGAAAUGCGCAGAUAUCAGGAGGAACACCAAUGGCGAAGGCAGCACUCUGGGACGUGACUGACGCUGAGACGCGAAAGCGUGGGGAGCGAACAGG